This 476-nucleotide ribosomal RNA is filed under the name Planctomycetota bacterium. Its description in RNAcentral is "partial 23S ribosomal RNA". It matches the Rfam family "Bacterial large subunit ribosomal RNA", at positions 1 to 488 of the family's 2925-position model. The record is from RNAcentral. Lineage: Bacteria; Pseudomonadati; Planctomycetota.
GACGAAGUUAAUAAGGGCGUGCGGUGGAUGUCUUGGCGUUGAGAGGCGAUGAAGGACGUGGGAACCUGCGAAAAGCCCAGACGAGCUGGUAACCGAGCAUUGACUCUGGGAUCUCCGAAUGGGGCAACCCUCCCGACUUGUCGGGAAUCGGCAUCUGAAUGUAUAGGGUGCCGAGGCGAACCCGGUGAACUGAAACAUCUCAGUAACCGGAGGAAAAGAAAGCAAACGCGAUUCCGUCAGUAGCGGCGAGCGAAAUCGGAACAGCCCAAACCCGUCUUCGGACGGGGGUUGUGGGCGCCAAUGUGGCACAUCGGCUUGCUUGGUGAAUCGUCUGGAAAGGCGAACCACAGAAGGUGAUAGUCCUGUAGUAAAGCGAAAUGAUGGCCUAGGCGUUCCAGAGUAGCACGGAGCUCGUGGAACUCUGUGUGAAACUGGGGGGUCCACCCUCCAAGGCUAAAUACUCCUCAACGACCAAU